Molecule: long non-coding RNA, 2507 nt
Filed under: Triticum aestivum (bread wheat)
Lineage: Eukaryota; Viridiplantae; Streptophyta; Magnoliopsida; Poales; Poaceae
Description: long non-coding RNA (TAES_LNC011962)
Source: RNAcentral
CCGUUUUGAACUUGUACUGUUCAAUAUUUUUAAUUCAAACCAUUUUUCCUUUCAUCAUCUGACAUUUUUGUCUAGUUUUGGGUUGCACCCGAGGCAAAUGAAUCAUACCAAAUACUGAUAGAAAAUCAUACAUUUCCUCACGAAACCAAACUUCUAAACUUUCCUACAAUAAUUCUUUGAAUUUGCACACACAGCUUAAUUGAACUUUUCAACAUUGGAUCCCCUAAUUAUACAUAACAGUCAGUUUAUACGAACUAGCUCUCCUUGGACUGAUGUCCGCGUUCCACUUGGACGGCUGCCAGUCACCAUGAUGGACGAGCUAGUGGCCAAGUGCGGCCAAAGCCACCGGGGGACUGUAGGUGCUUGUUCUUAUUCUCUGCUACGAAUUCACACAAGGUGGAGGUGAUUAGGGGAAGCAUGGUUCAUGGGUAACCUUCAUCUUGCCGCCGGAUACGGGCUGCUCGCGCUCGUGGACGCCAUCGACCGGACUCGAGGUAGCACCACUCGUGGACAGAGAUCAAUAGAGCCUGACAUGCACUACAACCCAAUCCAAUCCUGUCAUAUAACAAGGAACAAAUAAUAAUUUAUAUUUUGUUAAUUUCUGAAGGCAUCUGUACAACAAAUUAGAACUUCAGAGAGGUAUUUUUUCAUACAAACUGUGUCCAUGCUAUAGGUUUGAAUAAAUUGAGAGAGGGAGAGGGAGAGUAUUAUGUACUAAAUUCAUGUGGAGAGCAGAGCAGCUGCACGUCUAGGAUGGGCUGCCCCGGAGCAAAGCUCGCUCUCCCGCUGUUGGAUGACUUAACUUGGACAGCACCCAGUGCUCGACCUGGACGGCGCCCAGCGCUUGACUUGGAUGGAGGAGUUUCUACGCUCAGGAGGUUCCUCGCAUGUACGGUUCAUCUUGUUGGGCUGCCAAAAUAGACACAAAAAAUCACGUCGGAGCAAAUCAUCAUAAACCUUUUUACAAAACUGCUUGCCAAAUCCCGGUUUAGUGAAUUUACUAUAUAAUCUACUGCCGAACUGUUUAUUUAACACAAAUAGAAAUUUUUUGUAAUACACACUGAUAUAGCAUACAACAUAUUCAUAACAUCACUUCUCCUAACUGCAUUAUGAUCUAUCCAUUCAAGAGAGUUUGAACUUGCUAGCAUCUACUCCUAAUUGCAGCCAUCCCAUUAACUUUUACAAAACAAUUCUCAAUAUGGAGCAAAUAACAACAGGAAAGAGGCCUCCACCAUGCACAUACAACAUCGACAUGCUAGUUUUAGUGCCCUUUGUGAGCCUCCAAAGCAAAUGUGUUACAUCUAGGUGAUAUCUCUGUACUUAUAAAGUUUUUGAAGGUGAACUAUAGCAAAUGUUUAUAGUCCACAUAAAAGUUUAAAUACGUGUACUGCUCCAAAGCAAAUCUUUUAUAGUCCACAUGUGCAUAAAAGUUAGCUUUUAUUGAACAACAAAGAAGCAUCACAAAAGAUUAUUUUAGUUCUUCCAGGCAUAUCAACAAACAGCUUGCGAGCAACAGGAGUAGAAUAAGUUCUCCCAUGCAAACUGAAGAAGUUCUCUAAGUAGAAGAAUAAACAACUAGACUCCCAUCCUGGACCCUUAAAGAUGAAAUACGAAGAUGCAAGCUUUUACUGGAAUAAAGUUAUCCACAUUUUUGCAUACUUGGCACACCAGAGAACCUGCAUUGCUCGAUUUGUCAAGUAAAAUGGCAGCACAUUCCUGUGGCUCUUUUUUGGAGUGGUCGCUCUAAAGCACAGGUAAAUAAAUGCACAGUAAAAUGGCAGCAUUACACAUACUCAAGAACUAACAGUUUACUGGAAAACGCUGCCAAAAUCUAUUUUCAUGCAAAUUUUGUGUCUACUUAUUUGGAUAUCUGCAGCAACCAUGUCAUACACUAACGAAAUAUCUUCGAAAUGAGACCAAUCAAAGCACAGAGACAACCCGCAAUCAUCAACUAAAGUUGUGUUCUUCAGUUACUCUGACCAAGUUCGGUUUUCUUCAGAAAAUAGAUGAAAAUAGUGUCGACUUUGCCAUAUAUAUUUUUAGCAUGUAUUGGGACGGAUAGGUGAUGAGAAGAUGGACCUUCUCACGGUGGAGAAAACUACCAUCGGGGGCUGGUAGGAAGACGUACUUGUCGAGGCUCUCGAUGGUGCAGCUUGGUCCCCGGCAGUCGUCCUAGGCGGCUCUCACUGUCUCAAACUAGAAAAAGACCGAAGGCGAUGGAGUAGGACAAACGCCGGCUAUCGGAUCGUUGAAGGUCUGAUUCAAGAGCAACAUCAGUUCAAUUCAAAAUAAAUUGGCAGUUUAUGAAUUUUGUAGCUACGAGAGAGGGGGCAAGAACACCACAUAAUGCGAGAGUUGAUGCAUAAUCAACAGUUCAGGAGAUGGAACAGAGCAGGACAAGUAGGCAGAUGAGAGAUAGCAUGGGAGGAAAAAAGCUGAGCCAGGCCCAUGGGUGGAGCACGGGGUGGCCUAUACGCAGCACUUUGAGCGACCGGCCACGGAUCGAC